CAGGCGGGACGGUCUGUCGCCCGAAAGGGAGGAAAGUCCGGACAGGAAAGGGCACCCCGCUGCGGAAAGCGCAGAAGGGAGUAAUCUUUUGGAGGCCGUAACAGAAAACAACCGCCGGCACCAAGGGUGGAAGGCUUCGGCCGCAAUACCACCUGCCGGCAAGGAUGAAAACGCGGGGCAAGAGCCCACGACGGCAGGCGGCGACGUCUGUCGGGUACGGCACCGGGGCCUGCAAGACCAAAUAUACCGGCAGAUGAGGGCGGCCCGCCCGAUGCCGGGGGGUAGGUUGCGAAGAUAAAUGACAGACUCAAAAACAGAAACCGGCUUACGGUCCCGCCUUUAUU
This 344-nucleotide RNase P RNA is filed under the name Bacteroidales bacterium. Its description in RNAcentral is "RNase P RNA component class A". It matches the Rfam family "Bacterial RNase P class A". From Rfam's summary of the family: Ribonuclease P (RNase P) is a ubiquitous endoribonuclease, found in archaea, bacteria and eukarya as well as chloroplasts and mitochondria. Its best characterised activity is the generation of mature 5'-ends of tRNAs by cleaving the 5'-leader elements of precursor-tRNAs. The record is from RNAcentral. Lineage: Bacteria; Pseudomonadati; Bacteroidota; Bacteroidia; Bacteroidales.